Molecule: ribosomal RNA, 484 nt
Filed under: uncultured bacterium
Lineage: Bacteria
Description: partial 16S ribosomal RNA
Rfam family: Bacterial small subunit ribosomal RNA
Source: RNAcentral
AUUGAACGCUGGCGGAAUGCUUUACACAUGCAAGUCGAACGGCAGCACGGGAGCAACCCGGGUGGCGAGUGGCGAACGGGCGAGUAAUACAUCGGAACGUGCCCGGCCGUGGGGGAUAACGUAGCGACAGUUACGCUAAUACCGCAAACGCUCUGAGGAUGAAAGCGGGGAACCUUCGGGCCUCGCGCGAUCGGAGCGGCCGAUGUCAGAUUAGGUAGUUGGUGGGGUAAAGGCCUACCAAGCCGACGAUCUGUAGCUGGUCUGAGAGGACGACCAGCCACACUGGGACUGAGACACGGCCCAGACUCCUACGGGAGGCAGCAGUGGGGAAUUUUGGACAAUGGGCGCAAGCCUGAUCCAGCCAUUCCGCGUGCAGGACGAAGGCCUUCGGGUUGUAAACUGCUUUUGUAUGGAACGAAAAGGCUCUGGCUAAUACCUGGGGCUCAUGACGGUACCGUAAGAAUAAGCACCGGCUAACUACGUG